AAAUAUCUGGGGCUCUCCCCAGAGGUGUCUUUUCGAAAUGUGCUGUGUUAGAGUGCGAGAGACGCGAGUAAAAUCGCGUGUGUCGCGGUGAUGUGUAUAUAUAUCCGCAGGCACACGUGACGCGAGCGCCGCUCGCUGGCUCGCAUGUGACGGUGAGGGAAGAGCUAUAGGAGCGCACACAGGAUGAUAUCCUCUGAUAGUCAUACCCCUAAACCAUCAGGACGUGGUGUCUCCCGUGUACGGGUCAUGUCCGGUAGAUAACGUUAUAUGUCGUGCGCGGGGAGAGUACUGUCGCAAGUGUGACUCUCAGGGGAAUUGACGGGGGCGCGCACAAGCGGUGACACAUGUGUUUCUAUUCGACGCAACGAGAAGCACCUUACGUGCUCUUGAACCGCACAGCACCCUCCCUAAAUAUAGCGAUUUCCCACAAGGCACGAGUGUAGAGGUGGCACAUGGCUGUUGUCAGCUCGUGCCGAGAGGUGUUGGUAUAAGUCCCGCAAAGAGCGCAACCUUUACUUGUAGUUCCCUCCCCCAAGGGGGAACUCUACGAGGACUGCUCCGGAUAACGGAGAGGAAGGUGGGGAUGAGGUCAAGUCAGCAUGGCCUUUAUGUCCAGGGCUACACACGUGUUACAAUGCAGGGCACAAAGCGUCGCGAACCCGCGAGGGGGAGCUAAUCGGAAAAAAGUGUGCUCAGUUCGGAUUGCAGUCUGCAACUCGACUGCAUGAAGCCGGAAUCGCUAGUAAUGGCGUAUCAGAACGGCGCCGUGAAUACGUUCCCGGGCCUUGUACACACCGCCCGUCACAUCACGAAAGUGGGUUGUACUAGAAAUCGCCGUGCCAACCGCAAGGAGGCAGGCGCUCACGGUAUGACUCAUGAUUGGGGUGAAGUCGCAAC
This 897-nucleotide ribosomal RNA is filed under the name uncultured bacterium. RNAcentral describes it as "bacterial SSU rRNA". It matches the Rfam family "Bacterial small subunit ribosomal RNA", at positions 597 to 1492 of the family's 1533-position model. The record is from RNAcentral.